This 1107-nucleotide long non-coding RNA is filed under the name Homo sapiens (human). Its description in RNAcentral is "ARGLU1 divergent transcript". Lineage: Eukaryota; Metazoa; Chordata; Mammalia; Primates; Hominidae. The record is from RNAcentral.
GACCUCUUAAAGGUCCUAUCUCCAAAUACAGUCCCAACAGGAGGGAGGAAUCUCCCAGUGUUUGUGCCAUGUUUUGAUCUGACUGAAAGCCAUAAACAUAGCCGAAGCCUGGGCCAUCCACAGAAGACCCAAUGUUCUCUUUUUCCAAGUGGGCAUUUUGUAUCUCUGAAGAGUUCUAGACUGAGCUACAUCAGUAGACCUCUGCAUUUAAAGGGAGCAAUUCUCAUCCGAGGAUCCUGAUUCUUCUACUGUAGUGCAAUUUCACCACUCUCUCCAAAUGUCUCCAAGCAAAUUCAAAGCAGCUGAAAAUAACUGCAUGCCUGAGAUUUGGAGAGUAUCAGAGUCUGAAAUGAAGACAACUUGAGGGUCAAUAAACAGGAAGAAAAAGUACUCUACAAGACAGUUUAUCUGAUAACGGUAUGAUGGAAGAUGGCAUCAGGCGGAGGGACCACGAAGCUUCAGGCCAGCCCUGUCCCGAAGUCUUCUGUGCUUCAUGUCGAGUGGUCUGCAGUGGACUGUGUCUGCUUGAAGCGAUGCUCCGGAGGGCUUAUUGUUGUGUGGGGUAAAGCAUGAGAUCACUGAAAAAUGAGAGAAAUCGAGCAUACGAAAUGUGAAGCAUAUCUGUUGACACCAUGCGCUCCCUUUGCUUGCACUGGAUGGCGCAUGGUUUCCGUGCGCAGUGCCUGAGGUGUGGGGCAGGCGAGGCCCAUGCAGCCUGGCUCCUUUCCAGAAGGUUGCUGUUCAUUACAGCUCGAGUGUGCUGGGUUCUGCAGAUAUUAUCUAUUUUAAAUUAACGCUCCGUAAAAGGAAUUUAAAGUUUUCUGAAAAGAAACCAAUGAAUGAAGCUAAUAGUAAUAAUGCAAACACAAGCAAGCUGCCAAGUAAGCCAUUUUUCUAUUACGGAGCCCUUCAUCAGUCAUAUUAUUAAAGAAAAAACAACAAUACUAGUAAUAAUGAUCACCUAUUCAAGACCAAGAGGUUGAUCCUCCAAAAUUCAAACAAGGAAAAAUCUCUCCCAAUCUCUCCUUUCCUCCAUCCCUUUUCUUUACUUCUCAUCCCAUAUAUAAUAUUAUAUAAUGCAUACGUAAUAAAAGACAUUCACUAUUA